AGCUAGGUGGCUCAGAGGAUAGAGCACCAGGCCUGGAGUUGGGAGGUCCUGGUUCAAGUCUGGCCAAGCUA
RNAcentral lists this transfer RNA (71 nucleotides) under Monodelphis domestica (gray short-tailed opossum). It matches the Rfam family "tRNA". Rfam says of the family: Transfer RNA (tRNA) molecules are approximately 80 nucleotides in length. Their secondary structure includes four short double-helical elements and three loops (D, anti-codon, and T loops). Lineage: Eukaryota; Metazoa; Chordata; Mammalia; Didelphimorphia; Didelphidae. The record is from Rfam by way of RNAcentral.